GGGGAUGUACUGGUUUUGACGCCGUGAUCGGUAGAUCCUGGUUGCGAGUACGGGCGCUGUUCCCGUUUAUCAACGAGCAAAACAAAUUAAAUGACAACAAAGUUGUUUCAUUAGAUGCUUUCAGAGCUCAAAAGCUUGCUGCUUAAUUGGUAGCGCAUCCCUCUAAUUUAACCAGCUUGCCGUUAAAUUAGAUGAAAACAUGCAAGAUGCAGUGUGCAAAUGAUGGUAUGCACAUCAAGUUUUCCCAUUGAAGGUUAGGCUUCCGCAAAAAGUCUUUGACUUAAUUCAGGUUUUGUAAUUUUCCUUAUUAAGUUAAGCUAAUAAAUUACUACACUCGUAGACAUCAGUUUUUAUCCACGAUGGACGUGGGUUCGACUCCCACCAUCUCCA
This 390-nucleotide transfer-messenger RNA is filed under the name human gut metagenome. It matches the Rfam family "transfer-messenger RNA". From Rfam's summary of the family: Bacterial tmRNA, also known as 10Sa RNA or SsrA, is named for its dual tRNA and mRNA-like properties. The record is from RNAcentral.